AAGGUCUCCGUAUGUGAACCUGACGGAAGGAUCAUUACACAAUAAGAAGGCGGGCUGGAUACCCCCAGCGGUGCAUCGCUUCACGGCGUGCGCAGCUGGGCCGGCCUUGCUGAAUUAUUCACCCGUGUCUUUUGCGUACUUGCUGUUUCCUGGGCGGGCUCGCCCGCCCUCAGGACAAACCAUAAACCUUUUGCAAUAGCAAUCAGCGUCAGUACCAAUGUAAUAAAUUACAACUUUCAACAACGGAUCUCUUGGUUCUGGCAUCGAUGAAGAACGCAGCGAAAUGCGAUACGUAGUGUGAAUUGCAGAAUUCAGUGAAUCAUCGAAUCUUUGAACGCACAUUGCGCCCUUUGGUAUUCCAAAGGGCAUGCCUGUUCGAGCGUCAUUUGUACCCUCAAGCUUUGCUUGGUGUUGGGCGUCUUGUCUCCCCGUUUGCGGGAGACUCGCCUUAAAGUCAUUGGCAGCCGGCCUACUGGUUUCGGAGCGCAGCACAAGUCGCGCUCUCUUCCAGCCAAGGUCAGCGUCCAGUAAGCCUUUUUUCAACCUUUGACCUCGGAUCAGGUAGGGAUACCCGCUGAACUUAAGCAUAUCAAUAAGCGGAGGAAAAGAAACCAACAGGGGAUUGCCCUAGUAACGGCGAGUGAAGCGGCAACAGCUCAAAUUUGAAAUCUGGCUCUUUUAGAGUCCGAGUUGUAAUUUGCAGAGGGAGCUUUGGCUUUGGCAGCGGUCCAAGUUCCUUGGAACAGGACGUCACAGAGGGUGAGAA
RNAcentral lists this ribosomal RNA (766 nucleotides) under uncultured Alternaria. RNAcentral describes it as "eukaryotic LSU rRNA". The stretch from base 548 to 766 matches the Rfam family "Eukaryotic large subunit ribosomal RNA", at positions 1 to 218 of the family's 3401-position model. Lineage: Eukaryota; Fungi; Ascomycota; Dothideomycetes; Pleosporales; Pleosporaceae. The record is from RNAcentral.